Molecule: long non-coding RNA, 644 nt
Filed under: Micromonas pusilla
Lineage: Eukaryota; Viridiplantae; Chlorophyta; Mamiellophyceae; Mamiellales; Mamiellaceae
Description: long non-coding RNA (MPUS_LNC000161)
Source: RNAcentral
UCACACUGGUUCCCGUACGACCGCGUCGGCGCGGUGCACGCCGAUCCUUGAGGACUUUCUCUCCCGGCGCCCUCUCCGUCGCUCUCGUCCAAUGAAACGUCCACGUCAUCAACUAACUAACCAAUCACAACAUUUCCCGCCGCGUCGCCCGCCGAUCAAACGACCCUCAGCAAACACGCGGUGCUGUGCUUCGCGGACGUGUUGUGGCCGGACUUUUCGUUCGCGGACAUGUGCCACGCGGUGUGGACGUAUCAGAAGUCCGCCGCGCACGCGAGGGAGGGGCGCGCGCGGAUGGAGGCGAGAGCGCGGGAGAGAAGGGCGGCGGAAGACGCGGCGAGGCGGGGAAGGGAGGGAGGGGAGGGGACGCGCGUUCUUGCGGCGGCGGCGGCGGCGGCGGCGGACGCGGAAGCGAAGCGGCCGAAGCGUCGGCGCGCCGCCGCCGCCGUGCGACGGAAAAAUACGACGACGUCGACGGUCGGGAAGGAGAACGACGUUUCCGUGGCGAUCGUGAAGCCGAUAGACGCGACGAAAGGAUCCGCGGUCGCGCCGGCGGCGGCGAGCGUUCGACGCUCCGAGGACUGAACAGAACGAACAGAAGUUUGUAGCUCCUAGAAACGAAACGACGACAGAGGAAACGACGACGU